UAUUUUUUAGUAUAUAGUGUACAUCAAUUUUUGAUAUUGGUAGAGAUAGUUAAAUUCUAUUAAAAAUAA
Molecule: transfer RNA, 69 nt
Filed under: Chaetocnema confinis
Lineage: Eukaryota; Metazoa; Arthropoda; Insecta; Coleoptera; Chrysomelidae
Description: tRNA-Gln
Source: RNAcentral